This 263-nucleotide ribosomal RNA is filed under the name uncultured archaeon. RNAcentral's name for it is "partial 16S ribosomal RNA". It matches the Rfam family "Archaeal small subunit ribosomal RNA", at positions 716 to 982 of the family's 1478-position model. The record is from RNAcentral.
ACAGUCACACAUUAGAUACCCCUGUAGUCCAGGGUGUAAACGCUGCGGGCUUGGUGUUGGGGGUCCUUAGUGGGCGCCCAGUGCCGGAGAGAAGUUGUUAAGCCUGCUGCUUGGGAGUAUGUCCGCAAGGAUGAAACUUAAAGGAAUUGGCGGGGAGCACCGCAACGGGAGGAGCGUGCGGUUCAAUUGGAUUCAACGCCGAAAAACUCACCAGGAGCGACGGAUAUAUGAAGGUCAAGCUGAUGACUUUACCUGAUUUUCCG